RNAcentral lists this ribosomal RNA (253 nucleotides) under uncultured prokaryote. RNAcentral describes it as "partial 16S ribosomal RNA". It matches the Rfam family "Bacterial small subunit ribosomal RNA", at positions 525 to 777 of the family's 1533-position model. The record is from RNAcentral.
ACAGGGGGGGCAAGCGUUGUUCGGAAUUACUGGGCGUAAAGGGCUCGUAGGUGGCCCUCUAAGUCAGACGUGAAAUCCCUCGGCUUAACCGGGGAACUGCGUCUGAUACUGGAGGGCUUGAGUUUGGGAGAGGGAUGCGGAAUUCCAGGUGUAGCGGUGAAAUGCGUAGAUAUCUGGAGGAACACCGGUGGCGAAGGCGAGCUUCUGGGCUGUCCCUGACGCUGAUGCGCGAAAGCUGGGGGAGCAAACAGGA